AAGAAACAUAAAGAGGAAAGUCCGGGCAACAGAGAGCAACGCAUUUUCUAACGGAAAGCCGAUGGCGACGUCGGGGAUCAAUGUGACAGAAAACAACCGCCGGCAACUGCUCGCAGAUGUCGGCAAGGGUGAAAAGGCGGGGUAAGAGCCCACCGGAACAUAUGGCGACAUAUGUUGCCGCACAUCCUGCGUGUUGCAAGGCCAAAUAUACCGGCACGGAGCCCCUUUGGUUCCAAUGGGCUGCUCGUCCAUGCCGGGGGGUAGGCUGCUGAAGCCGUCGGGCAACCGGCGGAUUAGAUAAAUGACAGACUCCUUUCCGUAAGGGCAGGAACAUAACCCGGCUUACAUCUUUUCU
Molecule: RNase P RNA, 355 nt
Filed under: human gut metagenome
Description: Bacterial RNase P class A
Rfam family: Bacterial RNase P class A
About the family: Ribonuclease P (RNase P) is a ubiquitous endoribonuclease, found in archaea, bacteria and eukarya as well as chloroplasts and mitochondria. Its best characterised activity is the generation of mature 5'-ends of tRNAs by cleaving the 5'-leader elements of precursor-tRNAs.
Source: RNAcentral